This 406-nucleotide ribosomal RNA is filed under the name uncultured bacterium. RNAcentral describes it as "partial 16S ribosomal RNA". It matches the Rfam family "Bacterial small subunit ribosomal RNA", at positions 30 to 526 of the family's 1533-position model. The record is from RNAcentral.
AUUGAACGCUGGCGGCAGGCUUAACACAUGCAAGUCGAACGAGUGGCGGACGGGUGAGUAAUGCCUGGGAAUCUGGCUGAUGGAGGGGGAUAACUACGGGAAACUGUAGCUAAUACCGCAUACCAUCGGAUGAGCCCAGAGGGGAUUAGCUAGUAGGUGGGGUAAAGGCUCACCAAGGCGACGAUCCCUAGCUGGUCUGAGAGGAUGACCAGCCACACUGGGACUGAGACACGGUCCAGACUCCUACGGGAGGCAGCAGUGGGGAAUAUUGCGCAAUGGGGGCAAGCCUGACGCAGCCAUGCCGCGUGUAUGAAGAAGGCCUUCGGGUUGUAAAGUACUUUCAGCGGGGAGGCGUUACCCGCAGAAGAAGCACCGGCUAACUCCGUGCCAGCAGCCGCGGUAAUUC